UUUGAAUUAGUUUGAAUUUUUCAAUCAUUUUCUUUUUUAUGGUUGUGGAUCAAGCAAGAAUUGAUUCUCCCUGAAUUUCUUUUAUCCUCUCCAUUUUGCCUAUAAAAUGAACAGAAAUGAUUAACCCACCGUGAAAAAGAAUCGUGUGAGAGGGGAUCCACUUCAGCCCACCCCUAUCCCAAUGCAGAGAAGGCUUAUCUGGAACCUUCCAUCUCUUUCGGUGCAUUCCACGGUUAUUUGUCACGAGUUGCAUGGUAUCUCCAUCGGGCAGUUUAUCUUGGACGAAACUACACUACGGGAGUAUUAGUAUCCCUCAUUCAUAAAGUGUACCCUUGCAAGUGACUCUAUCCUCUUUUUGUUGAUUAAUGGAGUAUCAUAUACAGACAGUUGAUUCCAUUUACUUUUCUGCAAUUUGUGUUCAUCAUUAGUUACCCUAUUUCGUUGUACCGUUCUAAGUUCUAAGUUCUAACAAAUCUGACUAUUAUGCUUAUCACCGAAUAGACAUGUCAAGACGGAGCAACGAUAUGUCAAUGACAUUUAUUCUUGUGAUGUGGACGGCAGAGUUAAACUACGCAAUUACGUGUGAAACACAAAUGAUUUUUUUUUUGAAGCAUGUUACAAAUGAUGUUUGCAAUGUCUUAAAUUAUUAAGACAGGUAAGUGAACGUACUCAGUUAACUCA
Long non-coding RNA from Papaver somniferum (opium poppy), 681 nucleotides. RefSeq lists it as uncharacterized. NCBI's taxonomy places the organism in Eukaryota, Viridiplantae, Streptophyta, Magnoliopsida, Ranunculales, Papaveraceae. The transcript is spliced from 2 exons. The record is from RefSeq and is a predicted model, not a curated record.